CGUACACUCCUGCGGGAGGCAGCAGUGGGGAAUAUUGGACAAUGGGCGCAAGCCUGAUCCAGCCAUGCCGCGUGAGUGAUGAAGGCCCUAGGGUUGUAAAGCUCUUUCACCGGAGAAGAUAAUGACGGUAUCCGGAGAAGAAGCCCCGGCUAACUUCGUGCCAGCAGCCGCGGUAAUACGAAGGGGGCUAGCGUUGUUCGGAAUUACUGGGCGUAAAGCGCACGUAGGCGGAUCGAUCAGUCAGGGGUGAAAUCCCAGGGCUCAACCCUGGAACUGCCUUUGAUACUGUCGAUCUGGAGUAUGGAAGAGGUGAGUGGAAUUCCGAGUGUAGAGGUGAAAUUCGUAGAUAUUCGGAGGAACACCAGUGGCGAAGGCGGCUCACUGGUCCAUUACUGACGCUGAGGUGCGAAAGCGUGGGGAGCAAACAGGAUUAGAAACCCGGGUAGUCCCA
RNAcentral lists this ribosomal RNA (451 nucleotides) under uncultured organism. RNAcentral's name for it is "partial 16S ribosomal RNA". It matches the Rfam family "Bacterial small subunit ribosomal RNA", at positions 330 to 797 of the family's 1533-position model. The record is from RNAcentral.